UUUUUCUUUUUCUUUUUCACGAACACACCCAUCACAGUGACGAAACCUCCUCCUUCUGUUUUCUGCAGAGUAUCUCUUAAUCUGAAAUUGCUACACACAACUUCUAUUCUUCUAAACUUUUUCUGAGUUCUUCCCUUCCCACGUGCGAAUUGGUGCUGUGAUCAACAAUGGCUGCACAAGUGAAGAGCUUUCACCUUAACUCCCACUCCAAGAAACCCUCUCUACCAACCAGCAAAAUGCAGAACAUGUCAAGUGCAAGAGGAGAAGAAUUGAUGAAGGGGGUGUUCAGAAAGAGGGCUAUUGACAAGGGGAAUAAUGUGAUAGAAAGCGACCAAAUAAAUGACUCCAAGAAAAAGUCCAAUGUUUCUGGUCAUCACAAUCAGCAGAAUCAAGGUGGAAACGAGUUGAUGAAUGUGGUAAGGAAAGGGACAGAGAAGUUGAGCAUAAAAGAAAACAAAUGCAAAUCAGGUCCACAUUCAAAGGUGUGCUACUGUGCACCAACCACUCAUGAAGGUUCAUUCAGGUGCCGUCUCCACCGCAAGAAGUCAGCCACAGAUGAUAAUAAUAAGAGCAAUCUGAGGUUGAAUUCCCAGUAUGGGAUGGUGGAGUUUCAGCCUCAGAUGCCAAGUGCUGUGAUCAUCAAUGGCUGGACAAAUGAAGAGCUUUCACCUGAAAUCUCACUACAAGAAAACCUCUCACCUCUCCAGCAAAAAGUGAAAAAGUACAACAGAACAAGAAUUGAUGAAUGCAGUGGUCAGAACCAGGACUAUUUACAUAGAAAGCAGCAAACAGGGGAAUGAUGACUCCAAGAAAGCAGCAACCACUAAUGAAGUUUCAUGCAAGUAUUCCAGCCUCUACAGCAAGUCAUCAGCCACAAAAAAUAAGAGCAACCUGAAGUUGAAUUCCAAGUCCACACAUGGGAUAGUGGAGAAUCAGCCUCAUUUGCCAAGGUGUUGCUACGUACGUCACAAAGCUUUACAUGAAACCCCUGCAAUUUUAGAAGGAAGGGGUUAGCGAGAACUUCAAAUUCCACUAAUAAAGAUACAUUUUUUAUACAUUUUUUUUUUUUUUGCAUAUAUGUAAAAUAAUACUGUGUGCACUUGCUGGCAACUAUCCUUUAAGAGAAAGGUAACGUAUUUUGGAGACCAAGAAUAUAAUCAACUUGGAUACAUGUUUACAAUAGCAACAUUUUCUGUAAUAAACUUAUCGCAACUGCUCUACCUAACAAGCUAAAUCCUCUACGAGCAUAGUAUGUACGUUUACAGUCUACCAUAUAACUAAGUUUAUUUGUCAGAGUCAAUUGUUUAAUUGAAGUUAAGCAACCACUCUCAGCUUCAAAUUCAACAGUUCUUAACAUUCCCAAGGCUAGCAAUCAGUAUAUAAGCAAGGUGUGCAUCUAGUUCGUAUCAGUACAAAAGGAAUCAGAUGCACCCUAUUAUAAAAGUAGAAAAAUUUCAGUAAAGAUACAACAAAUCCACCAGCUGGAUCAAGAAAUUUCGGAAGACAAACAAAAGUUGGAAAAAAAAAAUAGCCAGUGGGA
Glycine soja is the source of this 1540-nucleotide RNA transcript. RefSeq lists it as uncharacterized. The transcript is spliced from 5 exons. The record is from RefSeq and is a predicted model, not a curated record. Lineage: Eukaryota; Viridiplantae; Streptophyta; Magnoliopsida; Fabales; Fabaceae.